UGGGGAAUAUUGCACAAUGGGGGAAACCCUGAUGCAGCGACGCCGCGUGAGCGAAGAAGGUUUUCGAAUCGUAAAGCUCUGUCCUAUGGGAAGAUAAUGACGGUACCAUAGGAGGAAGUCCCGGCUAACUACGUGCCAGCAGCCGCGGUAAUACGUAGGGGGCAAGCGUUGUCCGGAAUCACUGGGCGUAAAGGGUUCGCAGGCGGAAAUGCAAGUCAGUUGUGAAAGGCAGAGGCUCAACCUCUGUAAGCAAUUGAAACUGUAUUUCUUGUGAUGUGGAGAGGCAAGUGAAAUUCCUAGUGUAGCGGUGAAAUGCGUAGAUAUUAGGAAGAAUACCGGUAGCGAAGGCGACUUGCUGGACACAAACUGGCGCUGAGGAACGAAAGCGUGGGUAGCAAACAGG
RNAcentral lists this ribosomal RNA (403 nucleotides) under Fusobacteriota bacterium. RNAcentral's name for it is "Fusobacteria bacterium partial 16S ribosomal RNA". It matches the Rfam family "Bacterial small subunit ribosomal RNA", at positions 355 to 776 of the family's 1533-position model. Lineage: Bacteria; Fusobacteriati; Fusobacteriota. The record is from RNAcentral.